UUAUAACAUAGUCAUGCAUUUGUCUGUGAAAUAAAGAAGUGAGAUCAAGACUGUGUUCAAACACUUCCUUUUUCAUCCCUGAAGUGACACAAUCUAUCGUGUGUUUUGCUCAAACAUCCCAGUCACAUGAUGUGGAAGGUUGAUUGAGUUUGGCAUCUGAGUUUGGGAUUUGUGUCGUGAAUCUAUAGUUGCCAACAUAUAUAACACAUAUCAGUGGUUGGCCCUUGUGAAGACAACAUGCUUGUGGUGUUUGGACUCCUGGUGAUGUUAACUGGACUCUCUAAUGGCACAGAGGAGAAAUCCUGUGAUGCUAGACAGAACAUGUCAUGUCAUGGAGCUCUGGGAGAAACUGUCUAUCUUCAGCUGAUGAAUAAUGCCACAGGGUCUGAACUAAUAUUCAAAAAAGACCCCACUGCUUAUCAUGCAGGAGAAUCUUAUGGGACUGUCAUAGGCUCACUAGUAGCUGUGGUCCUGGUCCUAACCGUGGUGGUGGGACCUUACUGUAUUCACAAGAGGAGGACACCUUCACAGAUUCCAGGUCAGUCGUGUGACAGAUCUAAAAAACAAAGAGUACUAUGUACAGUACACCGAUUGAUACCACAUUCAGUCAGCUCAUGUGACUGUUGUUUCAGUGUUAUUGCUCACUUUAGAACUUUUUAUGUGGGCUUUUCUACUUCACAUAGUGUUGGCCUAGAUACGUUUCAAUAGGGCUAUUUCCAGAUCUACAGAUAGGCCAAGUGCAUGUGAACUAUGUGAAUCUAUGUGAAUCAACAUUAAUGCUUAAUGCCCCAAUGCAGCUGUUUUUAUAUCAAUAUCAAAUCAUUUCUGGGUAACAAUUAAGUACCUUACUCUAAUAGAUUGCUAUUCAAAUGGGCAAAAAUAGCAUUUUAGCAAACAUUUUCCUAGGUCUGUCUGGGACUGGUCUAAGUGGGAAGUGGACAACUGAAAACUAGCUGUUAUUGGCAGAGAGGAUUGGAAGUCUUUUGUUAUUGGUCUAUUAACUAAUUUACCACAUGGUGAGGUCACCAUGGAAAGCCGAAACUCCUUCCCAAGCAAACCUGCAGAAUAGAAGGUCAUGUGCAGAUUGUAUUGUCAACCAACAACUAUCAGGAAAUUAUGUUGUCAUACUUUUACAGUGUUAUAUUCAUCAGCUGUUGUACAAUAUGAUAUAAAACACAGCAAACACAUUAUUUGGACUGCACUGGGCCAUUAAGUAGGCUUUUGACCCUCAAAGUGUAAUUGUCUACAAAUGAUCUGUGCAGUAGUCAAUUCCCCUCCAAACACUCAUGUCACAUCUCCCGAGUCCCCACAGAUGCUGAUGAGAGUCCAGAACUGGAAUAUGCUGACAUCAAUAUUCUAAAGAAGAUGGAGAAACACAGGGAGGUUCCAGAGGAUGUGGAGUAUGGACAGGUUGUAGUAUUGAAGGGUUCCAGACCAACCACAGAGAGAGACAGACCUGAGGGGCGGGAGGAGACUGUGUAUGCUGGAAUACAGCUUGACCAAUGAGAGAGAUUCUUGUGAAGGGUUGAUAUUUAGACAGAACAUUAAAGCUCUGUUGCUUCUUUUGUUACUGUAACUAUUAGUAUCUAACGGUCCCAUAUUUCUGUACACAUUUACAUGAAAUGUAAAUGAACAACCCAACAACUAAACUGUAUACACUGGCCGUAGAGAGUCCUUCUGUUAUUGAUUGAACAUGUUUUUACCCUUUAAAGUCUCAACAUACAGCCAUACUAACCAUUUCCAUCUACAACAUGCUAUUACACAGUAGUAACAACAGUAACAGUGGUACAAGU
This is a long non-coding RNA of Oncorhynchus tshawytscha (Chinook salmon), 1793 nucleotides long. NCBI's taxonomy places the organism in Eukaryota, Metazoa, Chordata, Actinopteri, Salmoniformes, Salmonidae. The record is from Ensembl.